CACCAGAUGAGCUGCAAACUG
Molecule: unclassified non-coding RNA, 21 nt
Filed under: Mus musculus (house mouse)
Lineage: Eukaryota; Metazoa; Chordata; Mammalia; Rodentia; Muridae
Description: oocyte_clustered_small_RNA11084
Source: RNAcentral